RNAcentral lists this transfer RNA (61 nucleotides) under Mahmutkashgaria sulcatus. RNAcentral describes it as "tRNA-Cys". Lineage: Eukaryota; Metazoa; Arthropoda; Insecta; Hemiptera; Delphacidae. The record is from RNAcentral.
AGUUUUAUAUUCUAUUCAAGAUUUUAAAUUGCAAAUUUAAAGAUGACAAAAUCUAAAGCUU